RNAcentral lists this ribosomal RNA (254 nucleotides) under uncultured bacterium. Its description in RNAcentral is "partial 16S ribosomal RNA". It matches the Rfam family "Bacterial small subunit ribosomal RNA", at positions 524 to 776 of the family's 1533-position model. The record is from RNAcentral.
UACGAGUGCUUCGAGCGUUAUCCGGAAUCAUUGGGCGUAAAGGGUGUGUAGGCGGUUAUGUUAGUCUUGUGUAAAAUUCUCCGGCUCAACCGGAGGCUCGCACAGGAAACGGCAUGACUUAGAGGACGGAAGGGGUCACUGGAACUCAUGGUGUAGCGGUGAAAUGCGUUGAUAUCAUGGGGAACACCAAAAGCGAAGGCAAGUGACUGGUCCGCUCCUGACGCUGAAACACGAAAGCGUGGGUCGCGAAUGGG